This 493-nucleotide ribosomal RNA is filed under the name uncultured bacterium. RNAcentral describes it as "bacterial SSU rRNA". It matches the Rfam family "Bacterial small subunit ribosomal RNA", at positions 903 to 1397 of the family's 1533-position model. The record is from RNAcentral.
AAAUGAAUAGACGGGGGCCCGCACAAGCGGAGGAACAUGUGGUUUAAUUCGAUGAUACGCGAGGAACCUUACCCGGGCUUGAAAGUUAGUGACGGAUCUGGAAACAGGUCUUCCCUUCGGGGCACGAAACUAGGUGCUGCAUGGUUGUCGUCAGCUCGUGCCGUGAGGUGUCGGGUUAAGUCCCAUAACGAGCGCAACCCCUACCGUUAGUUGCCAUCAGGUCAAGCUGGGCACUCUGGCGGGACUGCCGGUGUAAGCCGAGAGGAAGGUGGGGAUGACGUCAAAUCAGCACGGCCCUUACGUCCGGGGCGACACACGUGUUACAAUGGUAGGUACAGAGGGCAGCUACCCUGCGAAGGGAUGCGAAUCUCGAAAGCCUAUCUCAGUUCGGAUUGGAGGCUGAAACUCGCCUCCAUGAAGUUGGAUUCGCUAGUAAUCGCGCAUCAGCCAUGGCGCGGUGAAUACGUUCCCGGGCCUUGUACACACCGCCCGU